RNAcentral lists this long non-coding RNA (2322 nucleotides) under Nicotiana tabacum (common tobacco). Its description in RNAcentral is "long non-coding RNA (NTAB_LNC011892)". The record is from RNAcentral. Lineage: Eukaryota; Viridiplantae; Streptophyta; Magnoliopsida; Solanales; Solanaceae.
AGAAGAGAGGAUCAGAUUUUAGACCUAGGAGGACCCUUCCCCUUCAGCUAGAGCAGCUUUUUCCCUUCUUCUACAUUUUGACCUCACUAUAUACAAAAAAAAAACACGCAUCAGAAGCAGCCGAAACUUUGCCCCUUUAAUCAUCGGCAGUAACACUCCCCAAAAACGGCAGAUCCAUUCUUUCUAAAAUUCGGUCGAAUCCCCAUUUCAUGAACCUGUAGACACCUCCAAUUUUCAAAAGAAAAAGGACUCAAACAAAAGGGCAUCGCUCACUUCACAUAUAUCUCGAAUCUGAGAUUUCAACUCCGAUGUGACGACUAUUCCGUUUCUUCCUUUCAAUUUCGAAUUUUUGCUUCAAAAUGGAUUUGAGUUUGACAGAGUUUGAGGUGUUCGGGUUUGAGCUUUCCGUUUGAUAUUUGCGAAAGUUUCUUGUGAGUUUUUUUUUUGGAUUAAAGUCGAGUCAGGCAUGGCUGUGUUGCUGCUGAUUCUGUUGCUAUCCGAGAUUCAAAUUUUGCCAUCUUGAUUUCUACUGCUGCAAUUUGUUCGAAUAUGCUUGCCUUCAAAUUUGGUUGAAGCUUUACAUUGUAAUCCAAGAAUGAAGAUUCAAUAUUAACAUGAAAGGAAAUUUCUCCAUUAAGGUUUAUUUUUCUACUCCCAUUUACAUUUAAUUGCUAUGUUAUGAAUAUAACUUUUUGAGACAUAUAACCUGUGAAAGUUAUUCAUUGUGAUAUUGAGUUUUUGUCACUCGGCUAUUUGCUAGUUUGGUUUAUUUACUGCUGAUUUUUUUGUUUCGAAAGUCCGUUUAUGGUUAGUUCUAGAGGGUGUGCUUGAGGCUAUUUCAAUUUUAUUUGUACUAGAGUUUAUCACUGCUCAGCUUAGUACAAAAUAAGGAUGUGCUAGAUAUUGAUUUUCUUCUAAAAAGAAAGAAAAUAUAUUUGUUUUCUCUAUUGGCUAAGUCAAUUGUAUCCAAAUUACUAGUAUAAUUUUAUGUCACUGUGUCCAAAAUUUGGUCUUUAUAUGCUAGAUCAUCACUGAUGCCCCACAACAAGGCGCUGGGCGGGAGUGGUCUAAUAUUUUCUUAAUAGUCCAUUGUUUCACUCAGAUGAUUUGUUGUUAUAUCAAUUCUAGUUGACCUGAAAAUUGGCCUACGUUGUGUUCCGAGUAAUUAUAAUAUUUGUAAGUUUCAUCAGUGGAUAGAUAUCUGUUGAUAAACAUUUGUGAGCUUCACAAUUUCAGGAAGCUAAAUUCCUUCAUGGGGUGACACAAAGAACAUUGUUUUACUGUUAGCAUAAAAUAUGGUCUUGUGUUCCUACCUCUUUUCAUUCCAUAUGGCUGGUGCUUGUGAUUGGCUAAAAUAUUACUCACUUUGAGAAGAUAUUUUUUAAAUAGUCACUCGCUAUAAUAUUGCAUUGGUAAUUGUCAAUAAGUGACAACAACUAAUAAGAAAAGAGAACAUUAUGUGUACUUGAGACUUCCUCCUAAACAAAAAGCAUUGGUAUUCCCCAAUUAUUGCCUUUGAUAUUUGGUAUCUGAAGUUAAUUGAUGAACCAUCGUAGUUUGAUUUAGGCGGGAUUAAUAAAUCAUCGUGGUUAUGGGUACAGUUUUCGUGGCAUGGUCACGAUGCGUAAUUCCCAAUUCGGGUGUGUAUUUCAUGUGACCCGAUCAUAACAACUUUGAGUAAUAAUAAAAUAAACAUGCCGCGAAUCGCGGGUGCAUUUCAUGUAGCGUGGUUUGCGGUGUGUUCCAAAACGGCAAGCAUACGACAAUCGUAACUUGCUCAAGAAAUAAUUCCAUAAAUCCUAAAUGCGUUUAAAUAAUUAAAAAUAGUUGUAAAGUUAAAAUGCAAAAUAGGCUUAAAACAUUUAAUAAAUCAGAUAAUUAGGCCAAUUUUAAUAGUUUAAGCGACCGUGCUCAAACCACGGUAUCCGAGAAUGCCUAACACCUUCUCUCGGGUUAACAAAAUUCCUUACUUAGAAUUUCUGGUUUCGCAGACUUUUAAAUAAAGUUAAUUUUCCUCGAUUUGGGAUUUAAAAAUAAACCGGUGACUUGGGACACCAUAAAUUAUCCCAAGUGGCGACUCUGAAAAAAAUAAAAUAAUUCCAUUUCGAUUAAUGUCACUUUAAUUGGAAAAACUCCCUUAUAUCCCCUCUCGGGUGGUAAAAAGGAGGUGUGACAUUAAUAUACAAAAUAAAAAUAUACUCAAUGACGGUGGAGGGAAAGAUUCGGUUGUUGAUAUAGUGCUUGAGUUGACAAUAGGACCGGUGGAAUUCAUUAUGGAGUUCCAGGUGCUGGACGUGGCCGUCUCCUACAAUUUGUUGUUGG